Molecule: long non-coding RNA, 249 nt
Organism: Dipodomys ordii (Ord's kangaroo rat)
Lineage: Eukaryota; Metazoa; Chordata; Mammalia; Rodentia; Heteromyidae
Exons: 3
Source: RefSeq, a predicted model, not a curated record
CCCUGGCCUGAUCACCACCCAUGAGUGGCAGGGUCCAUCCAGAGCUGGCAGACACCCUACCGGUGAAUAGUUCUGGAACAUUCACUCGGCCACCUACACUACCACAGCCUCUGUCUAGAGGAAGAGAAUGUCAGAUUUCUCCCCAUCGGGUGCUGACUUGACAAGAAACUCACUUCAUUCACAAACCCUCCUCUCUAGGGAAGGCAUUUUUCUAAGCAGCAAAUGAGGACAAAACACAUCUGCAUUGAC